UGAGAGACAACGUGAGUGUGUGAAGAGAAUAGAGAGAAAGGGAGAAGAGCUGCAAUGGCAGCAGCCUUGCUGCCAUUGCAGCAGCUGCAACAGCUGUGUGUGUUAGCUGGGAGUAGAGUAGAGUGGAUGUGAUCCUCCUCCUCCAUGUAUUUAUUGUAUCAUUUCUCUAUCUCUAAUAAAAUGAACCUCUCCCGUGGAUGUAGGCAAUUUGCCGAACCACGUUAAAUAUUGUGUCAGUGUGCUUUACCCUCCGUUGAGCAACUAUCAGUACACCCCCGGUCCGCGCAUGGGGGUGCCGGAAUUCCCCAACAGAAAGUGCAUGAAGAAGACAUCGGGAAAGAUUUGUUGCACAGAGAAUCUGAUGAUGGCCUUCUUAACUACUUGGAUGAGGCAAAAUAUGAUUUGGUUUGUGAGGGUGGUGUUAUAUUUACACUUGGCUAAGGAUGAUCCCAAAGUCUUUGCUGUGGUUAAGACUGUUGAAGAUGGUAGCUGGACACUGAGUCACAAAUCAAAUUGGCCUGCUUCAUACAAAAAAUGAUGCAAAUUCAUAGCUGUACACUGAGUGCCAAAUUAUUUUAGG
Molecule: long non-coding RNA, 580 nt
Filed under: Populus trichocarpa (black cottonwood)
Lineage: Eukaryota; Viridiplantae; Streptophyta; Magnoliopsida; Malpighiales; Salicaceae
Description: long non-coding RNA (PTRI_LNC004453)
Source: RNAcentral